GAGUUUGAUCAUGGCUCAGGACGAACGCUGGCGGCGUGCCUAAUACAUGCAAGUAGAACGCUGAAGAGAGGAGCUUGCUCUUCUUGGAUGAGUUGCGAACGGGUGAGUAACGCGUAGGUAACCUGCCUUGUAGCGGGGGAUAACUAUUGGAAACGAUAGCUAAUACCGCAUAACAAUAGGUGACACAUGUCAUUUAUUUGAAAGGGGCAAUUGCUCCACUACAAGAUGGACCUGCGUUGUAUUAGCUAGUAGGUGAGGUAACGGCUCACCUAGGCGACGAUACAUAGCCGACCUGAGAGGGUGAUCGGCCACACUGGGACUGAGACACGGCCCAGACUCCUACGGGAGGCAGCAGUAGGGAAUCUUCGGCAAUGGGGGCAACCCUGACCGAGCAACGCCGCGUGAGUGAAGAAGGUUUUCGGAUCGUAAAGCUCUGUUGUAAGUCAAGAACGAGUGUGAGAGUGGAAAGUUCACACUGUGACGGUAGCUUACCAGAAAGGGACGGCUAACUACGUGCCAGCAGCCGCGGUAAUACGUAGGUCCCGAGCGUUGUCCGGAUUUAUUGGGCGUAAAGCGAGCGCAGGCGGUUUGAUAAGUCUGAAGUUAAAGGCUGUGGCUCAACCAUAGUUCGCUUUGGAAACUGUCAAACUUGAGUGCAGAAGGGGAGAGUGGAAUUCCAUGUGUAGCGGUGAAAUGCGUAGAUAUAUGGAGGAACACCGGUGGCGAAAGCGGCUCUCUGGUCUGUAACUGACGCUGAGGCUCGAAAGCGUGGGGAGCGAACAGGAUUAGAUACCCUGGUAGUCCACGCCGUAAACGAUGAGUGCUAGGUGUUGGAUCCUUUCCGGGAUUCAGUGCCGCAGCUAACGCAUUAAGCACUCCGCCUGGGGAGUACGACCGCAAGGUUGAAACUCAAAGGAAUUGACGGGGGCCCGCACAAGCGGUGGAGCAUGUGGUUUAAUUCGAAGCAACGCGAAGAACCUUACCAGGUCUUGACAUCCCGAUGCUAUUUCUAGAGAUAGAAAGUUACUUCGGUACAUCGGUGACAGGUGGUGCAUGGUUGUCGUCAGCUCGUGUCGUGAGAUGUUGGGUUAAGUCCCGCAACGAGCGCAACCCCUAUUGUUAGUUGCCAUCAUUCAGUUGGGCACUCUAGCGAGACUGCCGGUAAUAAACCGGAGGAAGGUGGGGAUGACGUCAAAUCAUCAUGCCCCUUAUGACCUGGGCUACACACGUGCUACAAUGGUUGGUACAACGAGUUGCGAGUCGGUGACGGCAAGCUAAUCUCUUAAAGCCAAUCUCAGUUCGGAUUGUAGGCUGCAACUCGCCUACAUGAAGUCGGAAUCGCUAGUAAUCGCGGAUCAGCACGCCGCGGUGAAUACGUUCCCGGGCCUUGCACACACCGCCCGUC
This 1405-nucleotide ribosomal RNA is filed under the name uncultured bacterium. RNAcentral describes it as "bacterial SSU rRNA". It matches the Rfam family "Bacterial small subunit ribosomal RNA". The record is from RNAcentral.